GACAUUUGCAGAUGUAAGACAUGAACCUAAUACUUUACUGCUAAUGGGUGAAUCCUUGUAUUAGAAUUAUUUUUCAACAGAGUAACAAUAAAUGAAGGGGAGGCAAUGGCAACAUUCCCUGCUGACUACCCCAAAAUUAUUACAGGAACCACUUCUUCCUUGUGACUUACAGAAUGUCUUUGCUCAACUUCAGCUAUCACCCUACUGCCUCUAAAAGGGGAAAUAACUGCAGAAAUCUCCUCUUAUGAUGAAACAAAACUCUACAAUUCUGCCCUGAUUAUACCAACUCAUCUUCAAAAAGCUUAUGCAAAGGAAGCCAGAUUUGAGUUAAUUAAAGUUUUUUUUUUGUUUGUUUGUUUGUUUUUGUUUUGGUUAGAAUGCCAAAUGGUACUGUCAUUUUGGAAAGCAUUUGGCAGUUUCUUUUUUUUUAAUUACUCAAUGAAUUUACUACAUUUAUAGUUGUACAAUGAUCUUCACAACCCAAUUUUAUAAAUUGAUUCUGAUCUCUUUAGAAGGCAACAAAUGUUGCAUUUGAUUAAAAGCAGUUCCUGUAUUUUUUCUUUAAAGCACAUGGGAAAAUGAGCAGUCUAGCCAUAUGGAGAUGGGAUGGCGCAAAGGCAGUGCCAUCUCCAAGGGCACAUUUACUCACCUGAAGAGGGACUAUUCCUGUGCGGAGCAGAGUGGCUGUGUCACAUCAUUGGAUCUGAAGAUAGAAAGAAGGUACAAGGGCGUGUACCAGAAUUUUUCAAGCAGAUCUCUAUUAAGCCUCUUGCUUAAAAGAGAUGGAAACUCAACUUAAACAAGGGUUUUGUGAAUAAUAUAUAGCAUUGUGAUCAGUGCUCAAGAUGCCAUGUCUUAGGAAUUCAAACUCAACUUCUUUGCACAAGCUCUGUUGGAACUUAAGAGAGAAGAAAUGAAGUUCUGUAAACAAAGUUCAGAAAGACGCCCUUUGGUUCCAGGAAAGGAUUCACUUUGGCUCUACUCUUGAUCUGGGUUGAAUUGGCAGCUGCAUCGUCUUCUCUGGGAACCCCCAAGUAGCUUGGAGAACUGAUGUUGCAUAAAAGAGUAAUAGCUGUCAUUUGAAAUAAUUAAUGUGUGGGUUCCUCCGGUGGUACAGUGAGAAGCAAAAUAUUUAUUAAAGACUGGCUUGUAUAUGUAAGGAAAAACUAGACCCUGGAGACAGUCACAAAAAAAAAAAAAAAAAAAAA
Molecule: long non-coding RNA, 1208 nt
Filed under: Sus scrofa (pig)
Lineage: Eukaryota; Metazoa; Chordata; Mammalia; Artiodactyla; Suidae
Description: lncRNA (ENSSSCG00035044911.1)
Source: RNAcentral